GGCCCGCACAACCGGUGGAACAUGUGGUUCAAUUCGAUGAUACGCGAGGAACCUUACGUGGGCUUAAAUGUAGUUUGACUUCCGCCGAAAGGCGGUUUUCACUUCGGGACAAAUUACAAGGUGCUGCACGUCUGGUCGUCAGCUCGUGCCGUGAGGUAUCGGGUUAAGUCCCUUAACGAGCGCAACCCCUAUUGUUAGUUACCAACAGGUUAAGCUGGGGACUCUAGCAAAACUGCCAGCGUAAGCUGGAGGAAGGUGGGGAUGACGUCAAGUCAGCAUGGCCCUUAUGUCCAGGGCUACACACGUGUUACAAUGGCCGAUACAAAGGGCAGCCACCACGCGAGUGGGAGCUAAUCAUUAAAAUCGGUCUCAGUUCGGAUCGAAGUCUGCAAUUCGACUUCGUGAAGGUGGAAUCGGUAGUAAUCGCGCAUCAGCAAUGGCGCGGUGAUACGUUCCCGGGCCUUGUACACACUGCCCGUCAAGCCAUGGAAAUUGGUGUUGC
This 502-nucleotide ribosomal RNA is filed under the name uncultured organism. Its description in RNAcentral is "bacterial SSU rRNA". It matches the Rfam family "Bacterial small subunit ribosomal RNA", at positions 918 to 1420 of the family's 1533-position model. The record is from RNAcentral.